This 22-nucleotide microRNA is filed under the name Drosophila melanogaster (fruit fly). RNAcentral's name for it is "dme-miR-4968-5p". The record is from miRBase by way of RNAcentral. Lineage: Eukaryota; Metazoa; Arthropoda; Insecta; Diptera; Drosophilidae.
UAGCUGCCACGGUUUGUUGCUU